RNAcentral lists this ribosomal RNA (484 nucleotides) under uncultured bacterium. RNAcentral's name for it is "partial 16S ribosomal RNA". It matches the Rfam family "Bacterial small subunit ribosomal RNA", at positions 29 to 507 of the family's 1533-position model. The record is from RNAcentral.
UUGCACGCUGGCGGCAUGCCUUACCCAUGCAAGUCGAACGGCAGCGGGCCCUUCGGGGUGCCGGCGAGUGGCGAACGGGUGAGUAAUGCAUCGGAACGUACCCGGGAGAGGGGGAUAACCGGCCGAAAGGCUGGCUAAUACCGCAUGAACUCGGAAGAGCAAAGCGGGGGACCUUCGGGCCUCGCGCUCUCGGAGCGGCCGAUGUCCGAUUAGGCUAGUUGGUGGGGUAAAGGCCCACCAAGGCGACGAUCGGUAGCGGGUCUGAGAGGACGAUCCGCCACACUGGGACUGAGACACGGCCCAGACUCCUACGGGAGGCAGCAGUGGGGAAUCUUGGACAAUGGGCGCAAGCCUGAUCCAGCAAUGCCGCGUGGGUGAAGAAGGCCUUCGGGUUGUAAAGCCCUUUCGGCGGGGAAGAAAUCGGUCAGGCGAAUAGUCUGGCUGGAUGACGGUACCCGCAGAAGAAGCACCGGCUAACUACGUG